RNAcentral lists this ribosomal RNA (292 nucleotides) under uncultured bacterium. Its description in RNAcentral is "partial 16S ribosomal RNA". It matches the Rfam family "Bacterial small subunit ribosomal RNA", at positions 505 to 796 of the family's 1533-position model. The record is from RNAcentral.
GUGCCAGCAGCCGCGGUAAUACGGAGGGGGCUAGCGUUGUUCGGAAUUACUGGGCGUAAAGCGCACGUAGGCGGCUUUGUAAGUUAGAGGUGAAAGCCCGGAGCUCAACUCCGGAAUAGCCUUUAAGACUGCAUCGCUAGAACGUUGGAGAGGUAAGUGGAAUUCCGAGUGUAGAGGUGAAAUUCGUAGAUAUUCGGAAGAACACCAGUGGCGAAGGCGACUUACUGGACAACUGUUGACGCUGAGGUGCGAAAGCGUGGGGAGCAAACAGGAUUAGAAACCCGUGUAGUCC